CUAAUUGAUCUGAAAUGGGCAACAACAAAAUAAAUAAGAACAAAAUUCAUGCAAUACAUGGAUCAAUAUAAAUUAAAUAUGUUUUUAAUUUCUCAAUUAUCAAAUGGUUUUGGGUUUAGUUCUCAUUUUCAUUCUCUUCUUUACUAAAACAGUUAGAUUUAGUCCUUAAAAACCAAGAGUGUUUUUCCCUGCACCUUACUCACUUCUUCCUGUACCUCCCAUUCUUUUUGUGUUUCCAAUUCUACCCAUAAAAGAAUAUUUUGAUUUUCUAAAAAGACUGAAAAAGUUGUCGAUGCUCCUUUCCAAUGCUCCUUUUCCACCUCAUUUCAGAAGACCGAGUCUUCCCCCACAAGACCUAUACAGCCCCUUCUUUCUUUUACUUUGCACACGAAGAACACUAUGCUUUCUCUUCUGCUUUUCAUCAUUUUCAUGGGCUCAUGUUCCUUGCUGGUGGUAGUGAGAUCCAGGGCUUCUUCUAGCAGGCGUCCAGGUUAGUUACAUUUUUUUUCCUUGAACUGGAUUAGGCUAUUUGUCUCGUAGAUCUGUUGUUUAUAUCCUGUGAGAGGAACCACCACUAUUCAUUGAAAAGGGGUUGGGGUUGGGUAUUUGAGAGGGAGGUGCUCGUGCAGAACCGCAUUUGGAGGCGCGGUUGAGAAGUGUCGCACCUGAGAGGUGCGGUUGAGGGGUGUCGCACCUGGGAGGUGCGGUUGUGCGUAACCGCAUUUGGUAGAUGCAGCUAUGGGUAGCCGCAGUUGGGAGACGCGACAAACGAGUUACGACAGAGGAAGGGGGUGCGUUGCGAUCUGCGGCAGAGGAGGU
Molecule: long non-coding RNA, 819 nt
Filed under: Vigna radiata
Lineage: Eukaryota; Viridiplantae; Streptophyta; Magnoliopsida; Fabales; Fabaceae
Description: long non-coding RNA (VRAD_LNC015557)
Source: RNAcentral